This 39-nucleotide ribosomal RNA is filed under the name Hofmeisterella eumicroscopica. RNAcentral describes it as "partial 26S ribosomal RNA". The record is from RNAcentral. Lineage: Eukaryota; Viridiplantae; Streptophyta; Magnoliopsida; Asparagales; Orchidaceae.
GUGACCCCAGGAUGGGCGAGGUCACCCGCUGAGUUUAAG